GGGAGGCAGCAGUGAGGAAUAUUGCUCAAUGGGCGCAAGCCUGAAGCAGCGACGCCGCGUGGGUGAAGAAGGAUUUCGGUCUGUAAAGCCCUUUUCUGCGUGACGAGAGUGGACGGUAGCGCAGGAAUAAGUCUCGGCUAACUACGUGCCAGCAGCCGCGGUAAAACGUAGGAGGCAAGCGUUAUCCGGAGUUACUGGGCGUAAAGCGCGUGUAGGCGGUUCAGUAAGUUACCUAUGAAAGCUCUUGGCUAAACUGGGAGAGGUUAGCUGAUACUGCUGGACUAGAGUGAAGAAGAGGAAGGUAGAAUUCCGCGUGUAGUGGUGAAAUGCGUAGAUAUGCGGAGGAAUACCAGUGGCGAAGGCGACCUUCUGGUCUUCAACUGACGCUCAGACGCGAAAGCAUGGGUAGCGAACGGGAUUAGAAACCCCGGUAGUCCAUGCUGUAAACGAUGCAUACUAAACGUUCGUAUUCCGAGAGGGAUGUGAGUGUUGAAGCAAACGCGAUAAGUAUGCCGCCUGGGGAGUACGGUCGCAA
RNAcentral lists this ribosomal RNA (535 nucleotides) under uncultured Chloroflexota bacterium. Its description in RNAcentral is "bacterial SSU rRNA". It matches the Rfam family "Bacterial small subunit ribosomal RNA", at positions 343 to 891 of the family's 1533-position model. Lineage: Bacteria; Bacillati; Chloroflexota. The record is from RNAcentral.